AGAGACAGCGUCGCCGCGGGAACACCGAGGUCCCGAGCGUUGUUCGGAUUCACUGGGCGUAAAGGGUGUGUAGGAGGUUUGGUAAGUCAGGUGUGAAAUCCCGCAGCUCAACUGCGGAACUGCAUUCGAUACUGCCGAACUAGAGGCUUGGAGGGGGAAGCGGAAUUCUUGGUGUAGCGGUGAAAUGCGUAGAUAUCAAGAGGAACGCCGGUGGCGAAGGCGGCCUCCUGGACAAGUCCUGACUCUGAAACACGAAAGCCAGGGGAGCGAAUGGGAUUAGAUACCCCCGUAGUCCCUGUCUCUUAUACA
RNAcentral lists this ribosomal RNA (309 nucleotides) under uncultured bacterium. Its description in RNAcentral is "partial 16S ribosomal RNA". It matches the Rfam family "Bacterial small subunit ribosomal RNA", at positions 504 to 809 of the family's 1533-position model. The record is from RNAcentral.